This 1006-nucleotide long non-coding RNA is filed under the name Phasianus colchicus (ring-necked pheasant). Its description in RNAcentral is "lncRNA (ENSPCLG00000016901.1)". The record is from RNAcentral. Lineage: Eukaryota; Metazoa; Chordata; Aves; Galliformes; Phasianidae.
GGGGUCAUGGGAUGUGGGGUUAUGGGGGGGUUAUGGGGGACACGGGGAGAUUGGAGGCGAUUUGGGGCCGUUUUCACCACGGUUUUGGGGCCAUUUUCUAUGGGAUUUCGGGGGCCAUUUUGGGGCCACUUUCAAUGGGAUUUUGGGCCAUUUUGGGGCCAUUUUGGGGCCAUUUGGGGCCGUUUCCUAUGGGAUUUCGGGGGCUGUUUUGGGGCCAUUUUCAAUGUGAUUUUGGGGCCGUUUCCUAUGGGAUUUCGGGGCCAUUUGCAACGGGAUUUGGGGUGCAUUUGGGGCCAUUUUGAGCCAUUUUGGGCCAUUUGCAACGGGAUUUUCAUCCAUUUGGGGCCACUUUCAAUGGGAUUUUGGUCAAUUUGGGGCCGUUUUCAAUGGGAUUUUGGUCCCUUUUGGUGCAUUUUGGUGCGUUUUGUGCCAUUUUCAAUGGGAUUUUGGUCCAUUUGGGGCCAUUUCCAACAGGAUUUUGGUCCCUUUCGAUCAAUUUUGGGCCACUUUCAACAGGCCUUUGUUCCCUUUUGUUCCCUUUUGGUCCCUUUUGGUUCCUUUUGGACCAUUUCCAUCAGGAUUUUGGUCCCUUUUGUUCCCUUUUGGUGCAUUUGGGGCCACUUUCAACGGGAUUUUGGUCCCUUUUGGUCCCUUUUGGUGCAUUUGGGGCCACUUUCAAUGGGAUUUUGGUCCCUUUUGGACCAUUUCCAUCAGGAUUUUGGUCCAUUUCGAUCAAUUUGGGGCCACUUCCAAUGGGCUUUUGUUCCCUUUUGUUCCCUUUUGGUCCCUUUGGUUCCCUUUGUUCCCUUUUGUUCCCUUUGUUCCCUUCCUGCCCACCUCCCUUGGGAUUCCGCUGCCCUGGGUUCCCUUUGGUUCCCCUGUGUCCCCUUUUGUCCCCUGUUCCCCCUGUGUCCCCUGUGCCCCCUGUGUCCCCUGCUCCCCCUGUGUCCCCUGUGCCCCCUUUUGUCCCCUGUUCCCUCUUUUGUCCCCUGUUCCCCCUGUGUCC